UACGUAGGCAGCGAGCGUUGUUCGGAGUUACUGGGCGUAAAGGGUGUGUAGGCGGUUCUUUAAGUUUGGUGUGAAAUCUCCCGGCUCAACCGGGAGGGUGCGCCGAAUACUGAGGGACUAGAGUGCGGGAGAGGAAAGUGGAAUUCCUGGUGUAGCGGUGAGAUGCGUAGAUAUCAGGAGGAACACCGGUGGUGUAGACGGCUUUCUGGACCGUAACUGACGCUGAAACACGAAAGCGUGGGUAGCAAACAGG
RNAcentral lists this ribosomal RNA (253 nucleotides) under uncultured bacterium. RNAcentral's name for it is "partial 16S ribosomal RNA". It matches the Rfam family "Bacterial small subunit ribosomal RNA", at positions 524 to 776 of the family's 1533-position model. The record is from RNAcentral.